AAGCAAGUUCUCUAAGGUACAGGCAUCUGAAGCUUGGGUAGCACAAAUGUGAAAAUAACACAAGCAUUCCCUAAUGUUUGUGUUAACCCAGGAAAACAACUGCAACAUACUGUGGACUACUAUUUGGGUCUAACAGUGAUAACUAGGUCACGAUGUCAGAGUUGAAUACCAGGAACACACCUCAUACUGAACACUUGAAUGCUGACGAGU
Saccostrea cuccullata (small rock oyster) is the source of this 210-nucleotide long non-coding RNA. RefSeq lists it as uncharacterized. The record is from RefSeq and is a predicted model, not a curated record. The transcript has 3 exons. Lineage: Eukaryota; Metazoa; Mollusca; Bivalvia; Ostreida; Ostreidae.